RNAcentral lists this unclassified non-coding RNA (325 nucleotides) under uncultured fungus. RNAcentral's name for it is "partial contains small subunit ribosomal RNA, internal transcribed spacer 1, and 5.8S ribosomal RNA". The stretch from base 1 to 73 matches the Rfam family "Eukaryotic small subunit ribosomal RNA", at positions 1759 to 1831 of the family's 1831-position model. The record is from RNAcentral. Lineage: Eukaryota; Fungi.
GCAAACUUGGUCAUUUAGAGGAAGUAAAAGUCGUAACAAGGUUUCCGUAGGUGAACCUGCGGAAGGAUCAUUACUGAAUUGUCAACAUGAGUUGUUGCUGGUCCUUGAACUGAGGGCAUGUGCACACUCUGUUUACACAUCCACUCACACCUGUGCACUCUCUCUGUAGUCCUGUAGCUUGGGGGCUUCUGUUCCCUUGCUGUAGUUCUGCACCUUUACACACACACUGUAAUAAAGUCUCAUGGAAUGUAUGUCGUGUUUAACGCAAUAUAAUACAACUUUCAGCAACGGAUCUCUUGGCUCUCGCAUCGAUGAAGAACGCAGC